Molecule: ribosomal RNA, 243 nt
Filed under: uncultured bacterium
Lineage: Bacteria
Description: partial 16S ribosomal RNA
Rfam family: Bacterial small subunit ribosomal RNA
Source: RNAcentral
UACGUAGGUGGCAAGCGUUGUCCGGAUUUACUGGGCGUAAAGCGCGUGUAGGCGGCUUUGCAAGUCGGAUGUGAAAGCCCACGGCUCAACCGUGGAAGUGCAUCCGAAACUGCAUGGCUCGAGUCUCGGAGAGGAAGGUGGAAUGCUUGGUGUAGAGGUGAAAUUCGUAGAUAUCAAGCAGAACACCUGCGGCGAAGGCGGCCUUCUGGACGAUGACUGCGUGAGACGCGAAAGCGUGGGGAG